GAUGAACGCUGGCGGCGUGCUUAACACAUGCAAGUCGAACGAUGAAGCCCAGCUUGCUGGGUGGAUUAGUGGCGAACGGGUGAGUAACACGUGAGUAACCUGCCCUUAACUCUGGGAUAAGCCUGGGAAACUGGGUCUAAUACCGGAUAGGAGCGUCCACCGCAUGGUGGGUGUUGGAAAGAUUUAUCGGUUUUGGAUGGACUCGCGGCCUAUCAGCUUGUUGGUGAGGUAAUGGCUCACCAAGGCGACGACGGGUAACCGGCCUGAGAGGGUGACCGGCCACACUGGGACUGAGACACGGCCCAGACUCCUACGGGAGGCAGCAGUGGGGAAUAUUGCACAAUGGGCGCAAGCCUGAUGCAGCGACGCCGCGUGAGGGAUGACGGCCUUCGGGUUGUAAACCUCUUUCAGUAGGGAAGAAGCGAAAGUGACGGUACCUGCAGAAGAAGCACCGGCUAACUACGUG
This 466-nucleotide ribosomal RNA is filed under the name uncultured bacterium. RNAcentral's name for it is "partial 16S ribosomal RNA". It matches the Rfam family "Bacterial small subunit ribosomal RNA", at positions 28 to 507 of the family's 1533-position model. The record is from RNAcentral.